Molecule: ribosomal RNA, 468 nt
Filed under: uncultured bacterium
Lineage: Bacteria
Description: partial 16S ribosomal RNA
Rfam family: Bacterial small subunit ribosomal RNA
Source: RNAcentral
GACGAACGCUGGCGGCGUGCUUAACACAUGCAAGUCGAACGGAAAGGCCCUGCUUUUGUGGGGUGCUCGAGUGGCGAACGGGUGAGUAACACGUGAGUAACCUGCCCUUGACUUUGGGAUAACUUCAGGAAACUGGGGCUAAUACCGGAUAGGAGCUCCUGCUGCAUGGUGGGGGUUGGAAAGUUUCGGCGGUUGGGGAUGGACUCGCGGCUUAUCAGCUUGUUGGUGGGGUAGUGGCUUACCAAGGCUUUGACGGGUAGCCGGCCUGAGAGGGUGACCGGCCACAUUGGGACUGAGAUACGGCCCAGACUCCUAAGGGAGGCAGCAGUGGGGAAUAUUGCACAAUGGGCGGAAGCCUGAUGCAGCAACGCCGCGUGAGGGAUGACGGCCUUCGGGUUGUAAACCGCUUUCGCCUGUGACGAAGCGUGAGUGAAGGUAAUGGGUAAAGAAGCACCGGCUAACUACGUG